AUUGAACGCUGGCGGCAGGCCUAACACAUGCAAGUCGAGCGGAUGAAGGGAGCUUGCUCCUGGAUUCAGCGUUGGACGGGGGUGUAUUGCCUAUAAAUCUGCCUGGUAGUGGGGGAUAACGUCCGUAAACGGGCGCUACUACUGCAUCCGACUUGUAGGUGUUACUUGGGGAUCUUUUGACCUCACGCUUUCCGAUGAUACUAGGUCGGAUUAGCUUGUUGGUGGGGUAAAGGCCUACCAGGGCUACGAACCGCAACUGGACUUAGAGGAUGAUCAGUCAAACUGGAACUGGAACACGGUCAGGCGUCCUACGGGGGGAGGCAGUGGGGAAUAUUGGAAAAUGGGCGAAAGCUUGAUCCAGACAUGCGGGGUGUGUGAAGAAGGUUUUGGGAUUGUAAAGCCCUUUAUGUUGGAAGGAAGAGCAGUAAGUUAAUACGUUGAUGUUGUGACGUUACCAACAGAGUAAGCACCGGCUAACUACGUG
This 484-nucleotide ribosomal RNA is filed under the name uncultured bacterium. RNAcentral describes it as "partial 16S ribosomal RNA". It matches the Rfam family "Bacterial small subunit ribosomal RNA", at positions 30 to 507 of the family's 1533-position model. The record is from RNAcentral.